This is a long non-coding RNA of Aegilops tauschii subsp. strangulata, 1276 nucleotides long. RefSeq lists it as uncharacterized. Lineage: Eukaryota; Viridiplantae; Streptophyta; Magnoliopsida; Poales; Poaceae. The record is from RefSeq and is a predicted model, not a curated record.
CGCUAAGAAUUGCCAAGAUGGCCAAGUAAACUCAUAUACAAAUAUAUAUAUUCGAGAUCUGGGAGAAAUUCCCCAAUCUUCUUCCUCCAAAAUCCCUAGAUCGCGUCCCUAAUACUAGCUAGAUCCUGACACUCGGCUUCUCCCGCUUCGAAGCCGACGAGCUCAACCGCCUCCUCCCGCAGGCUCUAAAAUGCUAUGGCUAGACAUGGAUUGGUCGUCCUGGGUAGCGCGGAUUCAGUUCGUGCUGAUAGUAUGUCCUGCACCCAGGCUGAAACUAGUGUUGAGGAGUGACAAACAGCACGUUGUUUUGGCAUUACAUUGAAGAAUAUUCGGGGUUUCUGAUAGAGUAUGCUACAUUCAGCUUUGAUUAUACCCAAACCUCAAUCUAUUACCAUUACAUUGGAUGGUAUAUCAAUUUGAUCCCCAUAUUAGUGGUUUGCACUAAUUGGUGUCUAACAAUCUACUGUUAUCAGUGUGCAAUGUUUUCCUGACUUCAGUGUCUAGCACCUCCUGCGGCUGGGACGCCACGGACGCUGCCCCCAAGCUUGGCGUCGCCAGCUGCACCGCGUGUGCCUGGGGUGCCAGGAGUGAGCUUGGGGGCAGCCAUGCCGCCGGCGGUUGCAUGGAGCGACUUGGAGGAUGGGGCCGGAUGGGGGCGAAGCCGAUCCUUUGGUAUAAGGAGCACGCUCUUACCCUCUUCUCUCCGUCUUAAUCAUCAAUCGGUUUCCAGUUCACAAAAUGGCAAUGGGACAGUCUUCACUGCUCUGAACUUGCCAACAUUGUUCAAGUGUUCGUUCUCCAGCCUGCAAUCCAGUCAACCUAGAGCUGGUACACGGUGGUGCCUGUGGACGUUAUGAGGACCAUCCACACCCAGAAUGGCGUCGGUGUUGCUUUGUACUGGAGCCUGACAGCAGCCGCGACCAUUGCUGACACAUACUUCCCAGCGUUGGCGAGUUGAUUUACGUCAUGUUCCUCCAGGUAUCUUCUUAAACACUUUUGAAAAUGGCCACAAAUCUUAGUUUGAAAUUGAUCCUGACAAGUUGUAAUCUUAAUAUUGUUCGUUCGUCUAUCGAUUCAUACCUGCAUAGCUCUCCAGUAGUAAGGGAGAAAAGAGAUCACAUAGGCCAGGUGUUUGUACUGCUGGUUCUUAGUACAAGUCUCAUAUGGGUAAGCCCUAAAGCUUCCUGCCAUGAAGUAGCACGCUACAAACUCCGUGUGCCUUAACAAUGGGAUCUGGAACAUACACAAGUUUAAUUUAUAAGAACUUGCAUUUUAA